AGUGGCUUAGGCUAACAACUAGACCGAGGGCCUUCAAAGCCCCAAGCGGGAGUGAAAACCUCCCAGCCGCUG
Molecule: transfer RNA, 72 nt
Filed under: Lasiognathus sp. NMMBP 9030
Lineage: Eukaryota; Metazoa; Chordata; Actinopteri; Lophiiformes; Thaumatichthyidae
Description: tRNA-Trp
Rfam family: tRNA
About the family: Transfer RNA (tRNA) molecules are approximately 80 nucleotides in length. Their secondary structure includes four short double-helical elements and three loops (D, anti-codon, and T loops).
Source: RNAcentral